UUCGCUUACCGAAAGGUGUUGCCCCGACGACACCGCACUGGCAAAUGCCACGAGAGACGGGUCCGCGAGUCCCAGGUGCCGGCCAGCCGCUGCCUUUCACCCGGCGGGCACGCCUUUCCCGCCGGAGGCUAUCGCACGGCGGACUGGCCUCACACGCACUCUGGUACUCCGGCCCGCCGCUCCUCACCGACGUACGCGUCGCGCUAAAUUUUGCCCUUACAUUGGGGAUCGGCACGAUGACGGCUCUUCGCCAGUCUGCCGGGACCUCCCCCCUCAGCCAGGACUGAUUGAUGAGGCGCAGGAGCAGGGCCUUGGCGGUGGGGCCGAGGUGCUUCAGGUGCUCCGCGCAGAUGUUGUCUGGUCCUGGGGCCUUCUUGUUGCGCAGCUUCCGCAGCUGGAUAUCCAUCUCUGUUGUGGAGAACGGUCCGCAGCAGCUGGCGUCCUCUCUUUCCCCCGCGCAGGCAGUGCACGGGGGGCGGCUGCGUUGAAUCAGUUCAUGUUUUACCUUGCGGUCUAACUUCCUCGACCGGACUUGCCGGCUGACCCGUGAGUAGGUUCGCGCGAAGGAGGUCGCCUUCUCAAGGUCCUCCACGGCAAGGCCAUGGUCCCCUUGGAGAGCGUGGCCGGGGCAAGCCUGCACCGACCCCUCCAUCUUGCGCAGCACCUUGGUCACCAGGCCGAUGCUGGUCGGCUUGUUCAGCGUUGUUGUGGCAAAGUCGCGGAAGCUGCGCGUCUUGGCUUUGUCUUCAGUGAUGGCGGCAUGGCGCUUAGCCGUCAGCCACCGUUCCCUCGCCUCCCGGGAACGAUCCGUUCGCAUGGCGUCUCUCGCCUCCCGGCGCUCCGCCACGGCCCGCACAAGUUCCGGGUCCAGGGCCCACGGUUUUGGGUCGGCUCGCGCGCCCCGCGGGAUCAUCUCCACACUGUGAGCUAACAGCGUCUGGCUAAACACUGCCAGGAGUUGCUCGGUGGUGGCGCCCGGCGGGGGUGAGCUCGUCUCGAGUGUCCGCUCGAUGCCGUCGCGGAAUCCGACCCAGUCCGCCUUGUGGAAGGCCCACUUCGUUUUCCGGAUGCGCCGCGGCCGGCCGCCGUGGCACACGACCUCGACGAGUUGCGGUAGGUGGUCACUGCCGAGGUCAUCCCCGAUAGACCACGCACACCUCCUCGCAAGGCCGCGCGUGCAGACGGUGACGUCUGGGGCUCCGGUGUUCCCCCUGUAGUCGGCGUGGGUCGGAGCGCCAGAGUUGAGGACAGACCAGUCCCCGGCCUCGCACCAGGCGGCCAGGCGGCGGCCGACGUCAUCCGCGUCGUCACACUGGUGGUCCCACCUCGGGUGAUGCGCGUUGAAAUCCCCGGUGAUAAUGCAGUCUGAAGUGGGUCUGAGAGUGAGGGCGAACCUGUCCUCCCUCUCGUCGCUCUCGCCCGUACGGAUGGGCGGCCUGUAUAUGUUAUGGAUGUCGAUGGUGGUCGGUUGACUAGAAUGUUGACUAGGUGGGAGGAGCAGUCGGGCACCACACCACUCUGUGCUGUCGUCGGAGGCGUCGAGUGGGCGGUCCUCAAGUCUGGUGAAGCUGAGUCCGUCCCGGAUGUAUAUUACAACGUCCCCUCCUUUCACAGGGCCGUCUGUUCUACGCCCUCGCACUCGACGGGCGACCGAGGCGAUCUGGAAACCAGGGAGGGCGAUGUUUUUCUUCGCCGGCAGCUGGGCCUCCUGGAUCACCGCCACGUCUACCUUGUUGUCCGACAGCCAACGUUGAACCUCCAGCGUUUUCUUCCGGAGACCCUCCGCGUUCCAGCUCAGUAUGAGCAGGCGGCUUCGGACACGGCAGUUUCUUCUGUAGCGGCGAUUCUUCUUAGCCCUCCUACUGCGGCGACCUCCCCCGCUCCGGCCGCCCGUGACCCCGCCGCCCGUGUCGGCGGCGGGGGGCGCCAGGCUAUUCAUUCAGCGCGGGCCGGGGCCGCUGCGGGGGACCGGCCAUCGGCCCCCCUGGCGCGGCACCCGGUCCCGCUGGUGGGCAUCCGCUGCCCCGGGCGAUUGGAGAUGGUGAAGGUCGGACCAGGUCGGGGACGUAGUCGCCGCGGUGCACUACCAGGACACGAUUGUUUUACUUGUGCCAAGGACAGUUUCUACUUUUUACGUUUGUGUCGGCUGAAGGAAGUUUCAGCCCAGCGAAGUUUCAUUGAGUGGCCACAGGCGCAAUGUUUUGUUUUCAUAGGUAUAUGGAAAGGCGUGCAUGUAUGAGUGCCAGACGGCUAUACCGUACUGGAACCGGUGAUACAACUCGCACCAUUCUCCCUUAACUCGUCAAGGGUUUCGGUGUUUUGUUAUGUCAACAGGGUUACAGAUGUCAGCCGCCUGUCAACAGUCUCUCAGCUUCCGUCACCUGUCAGCUGUGUCAGCUGUCUGUCAGCCGUCUCUCAGCUGUCUGUCAGCUGUCUGUCAGCUGUUUGUCAGCUAUCUGUCAGCUAUCUGUCAGUUGGCGGUCUGUCAGUGGCCUGAGUCAGCGGACAGUCACCCAGCAGCAGAUUUGCUUCAUUUCGCUCCACCAGCUGCUCCACAGAUUUCCUCUACCGAUUGUGUUGUCGACUAUUAGCUCGUUUCAUGGUCGGCCAUUCAAUACAGUGCUGUGCUUCAAA
This 2634-nucleotide long non-coding RNA is filed under the name Amphibalanus amphitrite. RNAcentral's name for it is "uncharacterized LOC122393695". Lineage: Eukaryota; Metazoa; Arthropoda; Thecostraca; Balanomorpha; Balanidae. The record is from RNAcentral.